RNAcentral lists this unclassified non-coding RNA (3852 nucleotides) under Hevea brasiliensis (rubber tree). Lineage: Eukaryota; Viridiplantae; Streptophyta; Magnoliopsida; Malpighiales; Euphorbiaceae. The record is from RNAcentral.
CCAGGAUUUCAUAGAAAAUUUGUGCGUAAUUAUAGUUAUUGAUCAACAUUCAGUAUGAAACAUAGUUACAUCAAUAGAUUUUGACAGAAAUACACUUCAACGGCUACCGUUGCCAGAAUAACGUGACAUGAAUUAAGCAAGUGUGGCUCCGACAUCUCAACUUGUAUAUUUGUGUAUCCCUGCCCUAGGUAGAUUGCACUUUUGAGAAAUUCUAAAAUCAAAAUUCUUUCUUUUUAUCCUCCUGGAGUCAGACUUUAUAAUAUGUUAUUCCUUGUAUUUUGUGUAUCCCUUUUCUGAAUCUGGAUUUACUUCUUGCCCGACUUGAAGACAAGAAUCUGUCUGCAGCCCAGUCUUAUCACUAUUCUCAUAUCUUAACAAUAUUCCAAACAGUAUCUUCCCCUUCACUCUCCUGUAUGUAGCUAAAGUCGCCAAAGGUUCAUUUGACCUCUGCACUUGUCCACUUCGAUGCACAAAAUUGAUCAUCUGGCAACGGUUGCAUCCACCCAAUGACGUAAAAGACUUGUUCCCAAUUUUGAGACUUCUCCAUCCAUCUUCUGCAUAAGGUUCACCUCCAGAUAUGACAAGGUUCGGUCGAAAUCUCAUUGGAUUGACUUGAAGGGAUGUUCCGUGAGUUCCUUUUUGCACAUCUGCUAUCAUCAAUGAUGGUUUUUGGCAUGUCUUAUAAUCCAAGGAGGAAAAAGAGCUAACAAAUUCCCAAACGUUAAAUUACCCCAAAUUUCAAACCAUAAAAUGGUGACUGCAAAAGAAAGAUCAUUCAUCUUAUAAGACAAUUGUGCAAGUGGGUAAAACAUGCCUAGGCUUUCAUACACAUUUUUCACUUUGGGACAACAAGAAGCUGCAAUCCCUUGGGUUUCCCAUUCCUUUCUAGUAUUUAAAAGCAUAACUUUAUAAUCUAAAGUAGAAAGAGGAGCCCCUGUCAUUAAUGAAAGUGGAGAGGAAAUUUAAGUCAAAUGCUUCAACAUGCAAGUAUACAACUCGACCAAAUCUUAAUCCAAAACUAGCUGAGGUCAGCUAUAUUUAUCCUUUACCUUCAUUCCACCCUGUUUAAAAUUACCUCUUCCGAAAGCAUGCUUAUUCAAAUUACACAAGGCACAGAUUUUCCGGUCAUGUUAAGAAGCUUUAAUGCUUUGGAUUAGAAAAGCACAGCAUUUGCUAAUUUGCAUCAUCAUGAUCUCUUGCAACUUAAAUUGUGAACCAUUUAUGUAUCAUAAAUCUGAUUAAUGCACUGUUAUUCUUACUGUAUGUUUUCCUCCAAAAAAAAAGCCAAGAUAGUCACAGUUUAUCUAAUCAUGGAAAAAGACUAUUAUUCGUGCUAAAUAGAAGUAUUUGCUUCUUAUUUUAAUGAAGUAGAACAGAACAUACUCUGGCUUAAUCUGUUGUUGAGGUCAGAUAUGCUCUCCUCAGAUAUUAAUAAAAACUGAGCUUCAUUGGCAAAACUCAAUCUGCUCUCCACAUCUCUGCACAUGCUCAUAGCCCUGUUCUCGUUUCUGCAAACAUAGCCCUUAGAACUGAAACAUCGUAAUAGAGUGCAGGGACGACCAACAGCAUUGCUAAACCAUAGGUUGACAUCAUUUUCACAGUGCUGUACUUCAAAUCUCUUUGCGUGCAAUUCAAUUUCUUCUUUUGCACAAGGAUAUGAAUCUGUCCUUAGGUUGAUCUUCAACUUCGCCUUACAUCGAGGUGACUCAACAAGCAUUAGUCCUUGAUUUAGGUCAAUAGAAGUGCUAAUAAAGCACAUUUCAGGAACCUGCAAAAGAAAAUCAGAACCUAAAAAGUGUCCAGCACAUCAAAGGCCACAAAAAAUGCCACUAAUAUACAAAACUUACACACAAGGGCCAAUUUAGGGUUGCACACACCUGGACACACAUACAAUUGUUCCACAUGCAUAGUUUACUCACCUUUUUCUGAGUAAGGAUUUCCCCUGUUAGACUUUUAAGAAGCCAUUCCCGAUCAUGUUGCAAGCCUGAUAAAUUUGGCAAUAGGACAAAUAUACAACUCAAAUCACCAUCACGGGCUUAGUGUACCUCCAAACCAAAAUAUGAAUAUAUAAUACACAUGACAUUCUCAUAAAUCAAACUCUUACAAUCUUCUCUUCUCAAAAAGAGAAUACCUUGAUUUCAUCUAUUAACAAGUUAAAUAUCAGUGAAAUUUAUACCUAAAAAACUAUGAUUGCCGGCUUAUGAUCUUAGUUUUAAUUUGGUUUUAUUUUGUUUUACUUCAGACCAAAAAUCUGACAUUUCAGGCAACCUAACUCUUCAUGCGUACAGAAGAGAAAGAAGAUACUCCACUAAUUCAUAAUCUCAUUAUGACAAGAAGAGUUUCUGGUCUAUCAGUAGGACAAUCAAACAAUAUCUGGCUGACUUUAACUAAAGUAUUAGUAACACAAAUUUUAAAAUAAAUAAACAUAUAUGUGCAUAUGUUUGAUCCAAAUUAGCUACCAGUACUGCUCAGAGGCCAACUUUCUACACUGAAUCCUCCACAUGAUUUUAUUGGGUAAAUAGUAAUGGACUUCAGAUAAUAACCCGCUGAUGAGUGUCUUUUUUCCUGUCCAUCACUUGAGAAGGGGAUGGACCUUGGCCUAAACAGAUUCCCAUUUGCAGAUUUAUUUGGUGUGGAUACAAAUGAUCUUGUGAUAAAAUCAAUAAAUUUCUUGGCAUCUUCAUAUGUUGACAUGUAACCAAAUGAUACUCUAACAGCUCCAGUUGGUUUUCCCUGUAUUAUGUCAUUAUCAUCCCAGCAAACAUGCCCAGCCUCUAAGUUCGAAAGAAGAUCCAAAUGAGACAAUCCAAGGUAUUUUGCACAUGCUCCAGGAUUGCAAAAGCAUCCUGUCCGUAACUGAAUCCCAGAUAAGGAAGCCAAUUUUUCCACCUCACGAUAUCCAAACCAAGAGCCAUCUGGCCUUUUCAAGUUGAAUGACAGUAUAGAACCUGAUUCACAACAAAGUACCUUUGAAGCAUGACUUUUGUAAAUCAUGCAAACUUUAGCCCCAUUUUCAUGCCUUAAAGCCAAGAGCAUCUUCUCCACAUACAUCGUAAGUGAUGCUGUAUGCCGACAAAUCCUAGGUGCAGUAAGAGAAUUGAGUAUUUUGAAUCCAUGGCACAUGGAUGCAAUGCUUAGAAAUGAAAUGGUGCCAUCCUCAAAAAGCUCUUCAACACUUUCUCUUCUUUUAACAAAGUCCACAUCAGCAAAGGAAGCAGCAACAGUGCCUCCACUAAAGUAAUUCUUCUUCAGUAUCUUAGCAGCAUCAUUUCGAACAAUGAGAGCACCAAGUCCAGUUGGAUAGCCAAAUAACUUAUAGAAUGAGAUUACAACAAAAUCUGCAGGAUACUUUGACAAAUCUGGUGGUUGUGUUGCACAUCCCUUUGCAGCAUCAAUCAAGACCAUCCAGCUUCCCUUGCAAAAUUGAGAACCUCCUGAAAUUCUCUCUGAAUUAUCCUUAAUAAGCUUCACCAAUUCAAGGCUGAAUCUAAAACCUGAGAAAUUGCACUCGGAAGGAAAGGCAAACAAGUUGUAAGCAUCACCCAUGGGCUCUCCUUCCAUAAAUUCAGCCUCAUAUCUCCGUUGAACUGGGUGUAGUGACACCCUUAUUCCAUCAUGAUGCACAGGACUUUCAAUAUCUACUGCAAAGGCUGCAGCUCCUUGACUGAGAGCAUAUUCUCUGAUCCCAAGCACACUAUUAUGAUUUUCCAUGGUGUACAUAAAAUUGCUCUCAUGGUUCCAAGGAAAGGCCUCCCCAAUCAGCUUCAGUGCUGCUGUUGCACCAGAUGUGAAUAUGCAUUUGUAGUCUUUUGGAGAUGCAUUGCAGUAGUCAAGUACCUGUUGGCGUGCUUC